GAUGUUGAUUUUAGUUUGAUAGUAGAAUAUAAAUAAAUGAACAAAACAAUAAUCAUAUGUUAUGUCAUUUAUGUACAGAUCUUGAGAAAUGAUAAUGUUCAGUGUUGUGUCCGACAUAUCGAGAGUGAAAUUUAAAAGUUUUCAACAAAAUGAAAUGAAGAAUGUUGAGUCAAUUAUUUUGGUUUCAAUCAUUUAUAUCAUAUAAAUAAAGAGGUUGUUGAAGAAGAUGAUAAUUGAUGAUUUGGAUCAACAACAACAACAACAACAACAAAAAUGUGAGAGACUGCUGCUGAUGAUUAACAAAAAAAAAAUCUGAGAAUACAGAAAAGUGGAAAAAGAAAAUGAACAAUACCGUUUUUCUCUUGGACGACGACAAUGACGAUGAUCACCAUUCUUUCAACAUGUUCAUUUCGGUUAUAUUUUCAUUCGGCUAGUUGGUCGGUUUCAGUUAUCGGUUGGUUGUCAGUCAUAUCGGGAUCAUAUUAUCACCACCAACUAUCGACGUGAAACAAAA
This is a non-coding RNA of Dermatophagoides farinae (American house dust mite), 514 nucleotides long. NCBI's taxonomy places the organism in Eukaryota, Metazoa, Arthropoda, Arachnida, Sarcoptiformes, Pyroglyphidae. The record is from RefSeq and is a predicted model, not a curated record.